AUACUUACCUGGCAGGGGAGAUACCAUGAUCACGAAGGUGGUUUUCCCAGGGCGAGGCUUAUCCAUUGCACUCCGGAUGUGCUGACCCCUGCGAUUUCCCCAAAUGUGGGAAACUCGACUGCAUAAUUUGUGGUAGUGGGGGACUGCGUUCGUUCGCGCUCUCCCU
RNAcentral lists this small nuclear RNA (166 nucleotides) under Equus asinus (donkey). RNAcentral describes it as "U1 spliceosomal RNA (ENSEASG00005026204.1)". It matches the Rfam family "U1 spliceosomal RNA". Rfam says of the family: U1 is a small nuclear RNA (snRNA) component of the spliceosome (involved in pre-mRNA splicing). Its 5' end forms complementary base pairs with the 5' splice junction, thus defining the 5' donor site of an intron. Lineage: Eukaryota; Metazoa; Chordata; Mammalia; Perissodactyla; Equidae. The record is from Rfam by way of RNAcentral.